RNAcentral lists this ribosomal RNA (484 nucleotides) under uncultured bacterium. Its description in RNAcentral is "partial 16S ribosomal RNA". It matches the Rfam family "Bacterial small subunit ribosomal RNA", at positions 30 to 507 of the family's 1533-position model. The record is from RNAcentral.
AUUGAACGCUGGCGGCAGGCCUAACACAUGCAAGUCGAGCGGAUGAAGGGAGCUUGCUCCUGGAUUCAGCGGCGGACGGGUGAGUAAUGCCUAGGAAUCUGCCUGGUAGUGGGGGAUAACGUCCGGAAACGGGCGCUAAUACCGCAUACGUCCUGAGGGAGAAAGUGGGGGAUCUUCGGACCUCACGCUAUCAGAUGGGCCCAGGUCGGAUUAGCUAGUUGGUGGGGUAAAGGCCUACCAAGGCGACGAUCCGUAACUGGUCUGAGAGGAUGAUCAGUCACACUGGAACUGAGACACGGUCCAGACUCCUACGGGAGGCAGCAGUGGGGAAUAUUGGACAAUGGGCGAAAGCCUGAUCCAGCCAUGCCGCGUGUGUGAAGAAGGUCUUCGGAUUGUAAAGCACUUUAAGUUGGGAGGAAGGGCAGUAAGUUAAUACCUUGCUGUUUUGACGUUACCAACAGAAUAAGCACCGGCUAACUUCGUG